CUGUGAUAACAGUUUAUGUUUUACUUUAUUUGUUAUUUUUACCUUUGUCUUUUUUUUUUAUCUAACCCAUAUUUUAAUUAACUUUUAAAAACUUUAAAAAAAAUCCAAGAUUUACCCACUUUUGUAAAUACUCCCUAUUACCCAGUAAGGGGUGUUCCUAAGAUAGGAAGCUUAUACUUAAGAAAGAAAGACAACAAUCCAAUAAAAGAACAGAAAACAGCUCAAGGCCACCAAUGGGUCUCCAACACAGCAAGAAUUCAGUCCUUUUUCCAACAAAUCUAUGGCCAUAUCAAAAUAACAAAUAAUUCAUAAAUAUGGACUUUAUUCUUCUUUAUAUAACCACAUAUAACUUGUUUAUUGUAACAAUCCUACUGUUUUAUUCUUCACAAUAUAAAAUCAAAGCUAAAUAAUGAGUUUGCAUGGGGUUUACCAUUUCUAUACAAUCCUGUCUACUCUGUUAAUAAUUCAAUUCACCUGAUUGAUAGGAGACAUAUCAAGGUUUGUUUUCUUUAUAAACCUGUCUACCGUGACCAUUUCAGUUCUUACCUGUCUACUGUGUCCAUUUCAAUUCACAAUGGUAGACAUUUAUAGUUAAUUCCUUUAGUAUAGGUGGUAAAAAAAUACCUUUAUUAACUAGAAAAUAAAUUAUGACAAAAUAUCACAACUUAUUCUUUAUGUUUAUCAAAUUUGAAAAAAACCUCUUCCAAGAUUUGUUUAAGGUGGAAAACUUUAAAAAAGGAAAAGAAAUGUUUAAUUU
Molecule: long non-coding RNA, 757 nt
Filed under: Mytilus galloprovincialis (Mediterranean mussel)
Lineage: Eukaryota; Metazoa; Mollusca; Bivalvia; Mytilida; Mytilidae
Source: RNAcentral